ACAAUAUCGCGAGAUGGAGCAAAUCCCAUAAAAUGGCGUCCCAGUUCGGACUGCAGGCUGCAACUCGCCUGCACGAAGUUGGAAUUGCUAGUAAUCGCGGAUCAGCAUGCCGCGGUGAAUACGUUCCCGGGUCUUGUACACACCGCCCGUCACACCAUGGGAGUCGGAAAUGCCCGAAGUCGGUGACUUAACCGAAAGGAGAGAGCCGCGAAGGCAGGUCUGAUAACUGGGGUGAAGUCGUAACAAGGUAAC
Molecule: ribosomal RNA, 252 nt
Filed under: uncultured bacterium
Lineage: Bacteria
Description: partial 16S ribosomal RNA
Rfam family: Bacterial small subunit ribosomal RNA
Source: RNAcentral